Molecule: ribosomal RNA, 449 nt
Filed under: uncultured bacterium
Lineage: Bacteria
Description: partial 16S ribosomal RNA
Rfam family: Bacterial small subunit ribosomal RNA
Source: RNAcentral
CCUACGGGUGGCUGCAGUGGGGAAUAUUGGACAAUGGGGGAAACCCUGAUCCAGCAAUGCCGCGUGUGUGAAGAAGGCCUGCGGGUUGUAAAGCACUUUCGGUUGGGAAGAAAAGUUUGGCGCCAAUACCGCCGAACCUUGACGUUACUGACAGAAGAAGCACCGGCUAACUCUGUGCCAGCAGCCGCGGUAAUACAGAGGGUGCAAGUGUUAAUCGGACGUGCGGGGGGUGAAACGUGCGUAGGGUGUGAAAUCCCCGGGCUUAAACUGGGAACUGCAUUCGAUACUACAUGGCUAGAGUAUGGUAGAGGGAAGUGGAAUUUCCGGUGUAGCGGUGAAAUGCGUAGAUAUCGGAAGGAACACCAAUGGCGAAGGCAGCUUCCUGGACUAAUACUGACACUGAGGCACGAAAGCGUGGGUAGCAAACAGGAUUAGAUACCCUGGUAGUC